AAGAAGAAGAUCAGAAAUUAAGAAGCUGAGCUGCCACGACAUCGAUCAGCUGUUACUUGUUUUUUUUAAUCUUGUGCAACCAGAGGCGACCCUGUCGGUUCCUGUUUCUUUCUCAGAAACGCGCCGUGAGACUUUUACAGGAUCCUCAAAAUGAAGCAUGUUUGAACCGCACCCAUCUCCAUAUAGUGACCCUCGGCAGACCACCGCAGCCUCACAUGGACGUGAUCAGAGACACUGCAUGGAGUCAACAGAUGCCCAGUUCAGAAACUUCCAGGGAAAACCACAAUCCCCCUCCUGAUCAUUAGUUACAGUCACUUUUCUUUUUGUUUGUUUUUUUAACUUGAGGUCUUUUUGUUGGAUCAGAGCGCCCUAAAGGUUCCUGCUCGCUUGUUUCCUGAGAAAACAAACCAUAAUCCUCAGGGAACCUUCUAGGAACUUUCAGGGAACCUUCAGGGAACUUUCCUUGUCAGGGAAGAAGGUCAUAAACAAAUCUAUGAAAAGAAUGUUACUGUUUGCUGGUUAUCUGAACCAACAAUUUUUUUUAUCAGUAAUUUAGAUGACAUUAACCGAACAUUCCCUGAAGGUUCUGCAAACAGUAAUCCUCAGGGAACCUUCAGGAAACAUUCAGAGAACGUAAACGUAACCUUCAAGGAACCUUCCUUGUCACUGAAGAAGGUUAUAACAAUCCAUAAAAACCAGGUUGCUGUUUGCUGGUUUCCUGAGCAAGCAAACUGUAAUCCUCAGGGAACAAUCAAGUAACCUUUAGGGAACUUUCCUUGUCAGGGAAGAAGGUCACAAAUAAAUCUAUGAAAAGGAUCUUACUAUUUGCUGGUUAUCUGAACCAACCAUUUUUUCUCAGUAAUGUUAUGUUUAGAUAACAUUAACAGAACAUUCCCUGAAGGUUCUGCAAACAGGGAACCUUCAGGAAACAUUCAGGGAACGCAAACAGUAACCUCCAGGGACCUUUCCUUGUCAGUGAAGAAGGUUAUAAAAAUCCAUAGAAACAAGGUUACUCUUUGCUGGUUUCCUGAACAAGCAAACAGUAAUCCUCAGGGAACAUUCAGGGAACAUUCGAGUAAUCUUUAGGGAACUUUAGUUGUCAGGGAAGAAGGUCAUAAGUGAAUCCAUGAAAACGAGGUUACUGUUUGCCGGUUUUCUGAACCAACAAUUUUUCCCCCGGUAAUUUAGAUAACAUUAACAGAACAUUCCCUGAAGGUCCUGCAAACGGUAAUCCUUAGGGAACCUUCAGGAAACAUUCAGGGAACACAAGUAGUAACUUUCAGGGAACCUUCCUUGUUGAAGAACAUUAUAAAAAUGCAUACAAGGUUACUGUUUGCUGGUUUCCUGAACAAACUAACAGUAAUCUUCAGAGAACUUUCAGCGAACAUUCCCUGAAGGUUCGACAAAUGGUAAGCUUCAGGCAACCUUUAGGGAACAUUCCUUGAAGGUUGCUGUUUGCUGUUUGUGUCUAAAGGUUCUCUAAAGAUUACCGUCUGUUGGAUUAUUGGCCUCUAUUAUAUACAUAUACUAUUUUUUUACAGUUUGCAUGACAGUCAUAUGAAGGGUUAUGCACUAGUUGAAACAAAAAAUAAAUACUUUUCUCUCUUUCUCUCUGAAAGUGUAAGAAUAUGACUAGCACAGUGGCCUUACUAAUCUUUAAACAGCGUUGAAAUGCUUUUAUUGGUAGAAAGAAAACAAAAAAGUGCUUUUGAGAAAUUUGGAUGUAACAUUUUUGACAGUACGAAACAGUAAAUAUCCAGGAACGUUCAGGAAACAUUCAGAGUAACAUUUCCUGAAGGUUAUCUGAUUCAUUAGAUAUAACAUAAUUGUUAAUAAUCAAACAAGACUAAUUUCUGUAUUUGCUAAUUAACAUUUAUAUUUGUGUUGCGGUGAAAGUCUGAUUUUGAAAGUCAAGUAAAUCUUAAUCCUAACCAACAAGUUUGUGUUGAUUGUUAAAGAGUGGACAGAAUUUAUUAAAAUUUAACAUGCUGCACCUUUGCUCAGUAGAGUUUUAAGCAUCCCUCCACUAAAAAUGUGUUUUGUUUGUCGUUACUUCACUUGGAUACAGCCUGUGGUUGGAUGUUUGACCUUUGCAGGAUGAUGUAUGUGCAGAGUUUUAUACUCAGUGUUUUCCCAUUUGUCUUCUGAAGAAGGAAAUAUUCCUCUGCAAUGUAUUUACCUGACAUCUGAGUUCAUAUAGGCAGAAAUAGGAUUUUUUGGCAUUACAACAACUUAUAAUUGUUAAAUCUAGUAUCAGUGGAAUCUUUAUAAAUUACCAUUCAAAAGUUUGAAGUCGCUUAGAAAUGUCCUUAUUUUUGAAACAAAAGCAUUUUUUUUCAAUGAAGAUAACAUUAAAUUAAUACGUACAGUCUAGACAUUGUUAAUGUGGUAAAUGACUAUUCUAGCUGGAAUGGCUGAUUUUUAAUGUAAUGUCUACAUAUUAUCUACACAGUAUCUACAUAGGGGCAUAGAGACCACUGUUCUCUCUAAACUGCUGACACCGCGCACAGAAAAUCUGCUGCGCACACAAAAAAAAAUCCAACCUAAAUUGUAAAUAAAAUAAACACGUAACAAUUCAUUCUGUUCUAUUUUUCAGUGUGAGUCAGUGAGUGACGGUGACUGGCUGCUGCAGCCAAUGAUGCGAUUCACAUACGUAUUUACCAUAGACUGUAUAUAAUGGUAUUUACGUAGCUAAUCAACAUCAGGCGUCCUUAUGUGCAGCCAUCGUUGUUCUCAUAGAUAUGAAUGAGUAGAUAGGACACGCCCCUUUGAGCUGCGUGCUACAGCGAGGCUAAGCUAGUGGGGGAAAAGUUUCAGUGCAUUCCGUUGAUGUAGAUGGUGUGAAAAUGGAAACAAGUAUGCCGGCUCACUGUACUGCAUACAGUUACACACUACGUCGUACGAUUGAGACAAGGAAACUUGGAAUGACUUUUCAUAGGUGAUGAUUGGGAUUACAGACAGUUCUUUAGGACUGCUCUCAAAUAAUUGAAAUGUUACUAAACAAGGUUAUACUUAUCAAAUUAAAUAGCUCUGGUCUCCAGUAUAUUGGCGAAUUCGGUUCUUUGUACUUAAUUUAUUAGCAUGAUUUCUUUUAAUAUGUUGUCUACAGACUUAAUUACUUCUCUGUCUACUUUUCUUACUCCAUGUAGGUUUCCCAGAGACUAUGGGUUGAGGAGGAAUUGGAAGUUUGUCGGCUUAGACCUGUUGUCAUUCCAUCAGUGUUAAACUUCCCGGCUCAUCUUGGAAGAGUACGUGCCAGAAAGACCACGACCAAGCAGCCUUGAGAUCUUAGGCAGCGUCUCCCUCAGCAACCACUGGAACACAUCUCCAAAGUUCUGCUGGGCCAGCUCAGCUUCCCCUCAGAAGAAGUGCCGCCACCUGCCAGAUGAAGGAGCCUUUUGAGAGGCAGCUGGCAUCGUGAUUGGACUGUACUUUGGUCUGUUCCAAUCCAGCUUCAGCUCCAGAGACGGCAGGCGGGACGAGUCAACGGAGGCUGGGUGGACGAAGGCAUGCAGCUGAGUACAAUCCAGAAAACAACAGAGGAGGAGUGCAGCAGCCCAGAGCCAGAACAAACAGAGUAGCAUGGUACGUCUCUUAGAAAACAUCAUAGUAUAGCCUUUGCAAUGAAAAAACGCCAUCAUAUACAUUGUAUACUGUACAAAUAAGGCAAAGGAAAGAGACAUACAUUGUAGAAUUGUAGUAAUUGUGGGCUGACUGAUUUACUGAUUAUCAGUAUUUUAUUUUUUACUGAUUUACGGUAAUAAAUACAUUUAAAAAUGGU
Molecule: long non-coding RNA, 3781 nt
Organism: Amphiprion ocellaris (clown anemonefish)
Lineage: Eukaryota; Metazoa; Chordata; Actinopteri; Pomacentridae
Exons: 2
Source: RefSeq, a predicted model, not a curated record